UACGAAGGGGGCUAGCGUUGCUCGGAAUCACUGUGCGUAAAGCGCACGUAGGCGGCUUUUCAAGUCAGGGGUGAAAUCCUGGAGCUCAACUCCAGAACUGCCUUUGAUACUGAAGAGCUCGAGUCCGGGAGAGGUGAGUGGAACUGCGAGUGUAGAGGUGAAAUUCGUAGAUAUUCGCAAGAACACCAGUGGCGAAGGCGGCUCACUGGCCCGGUACUGACGCUGAGGUGCGAAAGCGUGGGGAGCAAACAGG
Molecule: ribosomal RNA, 253 nt
Filed under: uncultured bacterium
Lineage: Bacteria
Description: partial 16S ribosomal RNA
Rfam family: Bacterial small subunit ribosomal RNA
Source: RNAcentral